RNAcentral lists this ribosomal RNA (429 nucleotides) under Bacteroidota bacterium. RNAcentral's name for it is "Bacteroidetes bacterium partial 16S ribosomal RNA". It matches the Rfam family "Bacterial small subunit ribosomal RNA", at positions 355 to 776 of the family's 1533-position model. The record is from RNAcentral. Lineage: Bacteria; Pseudomonadati; Bacteroidota.
UAGGGAAUCUUCGGCAAUGGGGGGAACCCUGACCGAGCAACGCCGCGUGAGUGAAGAAGGUUUUCGGAUCGUAAAGCUCUGUUGUUAAGGAAGAACGAGUGUGAGAAUGGAAAGUUCAUACUGUGACGGUACUUAACCAGAAAGGGACGGCUAAGUACGUGCCAGCAGCCGCGGUAAUACGUAGGUCCCGAGCGUUGUCCGGAUUUAUUGGGCGUAAAGCGGGCGCAGGCGGUUUGAUAAGUCUGAAGUUAAAGGCAGUGGCUCAACCAUUGUAGGGUUUUGGAACUGGUUAAACUGAAUGCAGAAGGGGAGAGUGGAAUUCCAUGUGUAGCGGUGAAAAUCGUAGAUAUAUGGAGGAACACCAGUGGCGAAGGCGACUCUCUGGUCUGUAACUGACGCUGGGGCUCGAAAGCGUGGGUAGCAAACAGG